Molecule: non-coding RNA, 48 nt
Organism: Echinostoma caproni
Lineage: Eukaryota; Metazoa; Platyhelminthes; Trematoda; Plagiorchiida; Echinostomatidae
Source: Rfam
GCACUGCUGACGAGUCCCAAGCAGGAGGACGAAACAGCUGUCCAAUAC